RNAcentral lists this ribosomal RNA (301 nucleotides) under uncultured bacterium. RNAcentral's name for it is "partial 16S ribosomal RNA". It matches the Rfam family "Bacterial small subunit ribosomal RNA", at positions 509 to 807 of the family's 1533-position model. The record is from RNAcentral.
CAGUCGCCGCGGGAAUACGAAGGGGGCUAGCGUUGUUCGGAAUUACUGGGCGUAAAGCGCGCGUAGGCGGAUAUUUAAGUCAGGGGUGAAAUCCCGCAGCUCAACUGCGGAACUGCCUUUGAUACUGGGUAUCUUGAGUAUGGAAGAGGUUAGUGGAAUUGCGAGUGUAGAGGUGAAAUUCGUAGAUAUUCGCAGGAACACCAGUGGCGAAGGCGGCUAACUGGUCCAUAACUGACGCUGAGGUGCGAAAGCGUGGGGAGCAAACAGGAUUAGAUACCCCUGUAGUCCCUGUCUCUUAUAC